Long non-coding RNA from Cebus imitator (Panamanian white-faced capuchin), 540 nucleotides. RefSeq lists it as uncharacterized. NCBI's taxonomy places the organism in Eukaryota, Metazoa, Chordata, Mammalia, Primates, Cebidae. The transcript is spliced from 2 exons. The record is from RefSeq and is a predicted model, not a curated record.
GAUAGAGGGGAGAGGAGCCAAGAUGGCUGAAUAGAAACAGCUGAGGUCUGCAGCUUCCAGCGAGACCAGGGUAGAAGACUAUGGAAAUGCUGUUAGACAAAAAGCAAAGUUGAGCAAUUUUCUCAUUCGAGUUCAAAAUGUGUCGUAAAGCAGUGGAGACAACUCGUAAUAUGAACAAUGCAUUUGGCCAAGGAAUUGCUAAUGAACGUACAAUGUAGUGGCGGUUCAAGAAGUUUUGCAAAGGAGACAAGAGUCUUGAAGAUGAGGAACAUAGUGGCUGGCCAUCAGAAGUCGACAAUGACCAAUUGAGAGCAAUCAUCAAAGCUGAUCCUCUUACAGCCACACCCAAUUCUUCUCCACAAUGCCCGACUGCACAUUGCACAACCAACGCUUCAAACGUUUAAUGAAUUGGGCUAUGAAGUUUUGCCUCAUCUGCCAUAUUCACUUGACCUCUCGCCACUGACUACCACGUCUUCAAGCAUCUCGACAGCUUUUUGCAGGGAAAAUGCAAAGGUCUUUCUUGAUUUUUUUUUGUCUUCA